RNAcentral lists this transfer RNA (73 nucleotides) under Candidatus Omnitrophota bacterium. RNAcentral's name for it is "Candidatus Omnitrophica bacterium tRNA-Lys". It matches the Rfam family "tRNA". From Rfam's summary of the family: Transfer RNA (tRNA) molecules are approximately 80 nucleotides in length. Their secondary structure includes four short double-helical elements and three loops (D, anti-codon, and T loops). Further hydrogen bonds mediate the characteristic L-shaped molecular structure. tRNAs have two regions of fundamental functional importance: the anti-codon, which is responsible for specific mRNA codon recognition, and the 3' end, to which the tRNAs corresponding amino acid is attached (by aminoacyl-tRNA synthetases). tRNAs cope with the degeneracy of the genetic code in two manners: having more than one tRNA (with a specific anti-codon) for a particular amino acid; and 'wobble' base-pairing, i.e. permitting non-standard base-pairing at the 3rd anti-codon position. Lineage: Bacteria; Pseudomonadati; Candidatus Omnitrophota. The record is from RNAcentral.
GCGCCCUUAGCUCAGUUGGUAGAGCAGCUGACUCUUAAUCAGUAGGUCGAAGGUUCAAGUCCUUCAGGGCGCA